AGAAGCACACACACUCACACACACACACACACACAAAAAAAAAAUUAGGAGAAGGGCUUAAGUAAAGGCACGGGGAGAAGAGAGCAGGAGCAGACAGGAUGAGUGUUG
Molecule: non-coding RNA, 108 nt
Organism: Vicugna pacos (alpaca)
Lineage: Eukaryota; Metazoa; Chordata; Mammalia; Artiodactyla; Camelidae
Source: RefSeq, a predicted model, not a curated record